Molecule: long non-coding RNA, 2508 nt
Organism: Ficedula albicollis (Collared flycatcher)
Lineage: Eukaryota; Metazoa; Chordata; Aves; Passeriformes; Muscicapidae
Exons: 3
Source: RefSeq, a predicted model, not a curated record
UGAUUGGUGGGUUGCAGAGCCCGCCCCGCCGCACGGCCGGGGAGCCCUUCGGUGUGCUCGAUUUGUGUUUCUUUGGACUAACAAAAGUGUGUUUUCCUCGGAAUUUCUGCCACCAAAUCGCCCGGUUUCCCCGGUGAGGGGGGAGAAGAGCAGUAUAGUUUUAACGCAGAGAUAAACCUACUUUACUGAUGUAGAAUUGCUGCUUUAAACACAUACUCCUUUUUAUGUGAAAGAAAUACAUGUGCAGGAACAAUAUUUUGUUGCCUAGACUAGCACAGAAGGCCAGCACUGAGCAGCUGGGAGCAGGGAUCAGCAGACAUCCAGAUGUACAGAGGUGGUAAGUAAAGAGAAACCUGCUGGGGUUCGGGUUUGCUCAAACUGCAAAGAGACAUGUACCAGGAAACUUGGUAGCUGAAAUUAUUCAAAGCUGUUGAGAAAGGGGCCUGGUCAACAGUAAGGUGAACAUUUGAGCAGUUCUAAUGUUAAAUGUCCAAUUCUAAGGCAUGGUCUUUUUUAAUAAAAAAUUCACUAGGAUUAAAAAAAAAAUGAAGAAAGAAAGAAAAUGAAUAGAACCAAAAUGUAAAUGGAGAAAAAGUUGCAAUCUGUUCUUGUUUCAACAGUUCUUUAGAAGAAAACAGGCCUUGGCAUGCUUGGGUAUGUAGAAGAGCUUUCAAGGGUUAUCACUGUCAGCCACAUCAGUAGAUUUUUUAUUUAACACUAAUGAAAAAAGACAGGUUCCUAAUAUUCAAUUCUGUCUGGGUUUAGAUUUUUAUUAUUUUCAUUUUACCACGUGUUCUUAUUGUCCCUACGGGGUGAAUUGUCUUAGCUUUAGUUCGUGUUUUGUUUGGGUCUUUCAGGUUUGUUUUUGCUUUUUUUUUACCUUCCCCUAGGUAGGAGGGUCAUCUAGUUUUGAUCCUUUCAAACUUGAGGGACACACAAGCUCUGUUGAGCUAGUGUUGGGAACACAAAAGCUCUAAGUCUGGGAGAGGUCAGAAGAAUACACAGUGUAGUAGUAGAACUUGUUUCUUAAGUUAGUGGUAUCAGCAGGGAUCCAGAGUGGGGAGGAAUUAAUGGGCGUUAUGAGCAGGACAGCCUUGAGAUUCUGCUCUCUUUUAAUAAUUGCAUGCUGGAGACAUAAUUAUAACACUUGAGUAAUUAGCAGGAAACUGUUUUCUGGACCAAUAUCCCAACUGUGAUAGAUGCUAGUAAAUAAAGGAGGUAAAAGCAAUAGUUGAUAAUCUCAUCAAAGUGGUCCUUUAGAUUUUAGUGCUUUGUGGGCUGGAGACUCGUGGAGUCUGAGGGGAUGUCUUAGGGAAGGGAUUAAAUAGGGAGCCACAAAUGGAUUUUUCUUCUUUGUGUGUAGCAGUUGCUUUCUCUAGACAAAACAUUUUUCAUGUUUUUGGAUGUGCUUUAGCAUUAGAAAUCAAAAGGUUGAGGAACAGGUGGGUGGGAGCGAUAGAUGGACAAAUGAGUGAUGGCACGUGUACUGCAUGGACUAUCAUAGUGGAGAUACCCAUUAAUACGUGGUUAGCUGUCCUCAGGGUGCACCUGUGCUAUAAAAUGCUGCUGGAAAACAUGCAUGAGAGGGAACAAAAUGCCCACCAGCAAAGAGAGUGAACUGAAUACCUUUCUCUGUGGCUGUAGAGAUGAAGAUAAUACAUGUGAAACAGAGGGAAUUGCAAAUCAUAUCAAAGAGGAGAUAAAAAGGAAUCAUAGGUGUUCAGGCACAGACUGAGACAUUAUUAUAUAAAAUAUCUGAACUGAAAUAUGCUGUGAAACAAUUACUUCACUAUUAUAUUUUUAUACCCCUACACUUUUUCAGGCUAACCCUGCUGGAGUCACUGUGACUGAAGCAGAAAAGAAGUGCCAGAGUCAAUGAGAAAAAGGGUUGCCAGACUUCACACAGCUCUUUACAAGCCCUUCACCUUCAAGGACUUUCCUCUGUCUCUGUAUGAGUAAUGAUGUGUGUAUUUGGCCAUGAUGAACACAGGCAUUCUCCAUAUUGGAAUUAUGUUGGUUUCGUAGACCCAGUGAGUCCUGAACUACAAAAGGAGGACUGCGGGCAUGGCCAACAGAAAUGAGGCACGGAUUGAAGUCAUAAGGACUGAUUUCAGAGUCAUGAAGUUAUACACAAAUUCCAUAGACAAAUGUCAUCACUUCCAACAUACCCUUGUGAAAGGAAAACAUAUUACAUGAGAGAAAGAGUAUGCACUCAGAAUUGAGCCAAGCCUUUGAGAGCAUUGGGCUACACAUGCACAUGCCUGGCACAGCAAUUUUUGUUGUGCAUUUGGUAUAUGUUAAUGCUUUGAACCUAGUUAGAAGAAAUUAACUAAUGGAAAUAUGUUUUUUGUAUAUCACCAGGAUGUCAAGAAUUUAAUGUGAAGCAAAGACUAGAGACAGAAAAUAAAGUGUGAAUAGGAAGCAAACACCGGAAUCACUAGGGUAGAAAAAAAGGCCCUUCAGUUCACUGCUGAAAAAGUCCAGUGUAGAUUCGCCACUGAUACAAUA